Molecule: long non-coding RNA, 7389 nt
Organism: Equus caballus (horse)
Lineage: Eukaryota; Metazoa; Chordata; Mammalia; Perissodactyla; Equidae
Source: Ensembl
GGGACGCUGGAGGAAGAGUCUGAGGGUCACCCUGCUGCUAAAGAGGGACGAACAGCAGCUGUCAGCCACGGGAGUCAAAGAGAGGAGGAGCGCCACAGCCAUCACGGCAGCUAAGGUUUUAUAGAGCGCGUCCGGUCCGAGCUCUUCACUGGACUAGCCGCCUUAAUGCUCACAAGUGCCCUGUGAGGCAGGCGCCAGCGCUGUCCCCAUCGUACAGCUGAGGAAACUGAGGCAGGGAGGUUUAACAACUCAUCCAAGCUAGUAAGUGGCGCGGCUAGGACUUUGUCCCACAUGGUCCCAUCCCCAGGGGGCAGGUGAGGCUCAGCCCCGUCCAGCAUUUGGCCCAGUUGCCCCUCCCCCACCAGGACUUCCUUCCAAUAACAGCGUUGGAAGCUUUGGUUAUGUUUUAUUAAUGGAAACGGUUUUUCUUUCAGAGCUUUGUGACAUCCUUUUUUUUUUUAUUAUUGAGGUAUAAUUUAUAUAUAAUAAAAUGCACAGAUCUUAAAGUACCGGUCGAUAACUUUUAACAAAUGCACACACUGGAGUCAUCCACACUGAAAUCAAGAUCCAGAACAUUUUUCAUCUCCCCUGUGCUGCCAAUCAAUACCCCAGCCCCAGGAGCUGAUGCUGUUCAUGUGGCCUGUUCUGAAACUGGAUGUAAAUGGAAUCAUACUGUCCACCUGUCUGCGCAGCCCCCUACCCCGGCCAUUCUUAGAGUGUGGCUCACACUGAGCUGUCAGGGAGUGAGCACACACUCGGUGUGCCCCUGAUCCCUGCCCCCCUGCCAUUGCCAGCGGUCACAGCAGACAUCACUCAUCCAUUACCACACGGGCUCCCGCUGAGCCCGGGUGCAGCCCCGGUGGGCCUCAUAUCGAGGACUGUGACGCAGAGAACCCCUAUCAACCGAUUGCAGCCGGCGUGGGAGUUGAAAUUCACUUGCCAGCCCAAGAUUAAAGCCGAUCUUCAUCUUUCAGGGGAAGCUGCACUUUCUUGAAACUUCUUAUUUUGAAGUAAAGUAAGACUUGCAGGAAGUUGCAAGAUUAAUAGAGUUCCCGCCCUUCGUCCACCUUCCCCAAUGAUAGCAUCUCACACGGUCACCGUAGAUGAUCAAAAUCAGGAAACGGACAUCGAUACGAAUCUGUUACCCAAACUACAGAUCUUGUUCCGAUUUGACCGGUGUUAACACGCCAUCUGGAGAGGAAGCUGGAGUUCUGUGAGAUGUUAUCGCACAUGUAGACAAAGGGACCCCUUAUGCUCCACUGUGAUGGUCACCCCCCCGUCCAGAAGAUGCCCCAUUCCUCUGAGUCUUGUCUGCCAGUUCCUCACUGUCUCUAUGACUGUAGCUAUAGAGUAAAAGAACCCCAUUGGAACAGGGAUUCAAACCUUGAGCCAAAAGGAGGAAGUUGUGACAGCGAAAUUUGGUGAAACCUGGACUUGAGGCUCGACUUUGGGUGACCUCGGUCAAGUCGCUGCCCAGCUCGGUCUUACUUUUUAAUUCGUAGAGUGGCGACCGUAAGCGUUAUGUUGACUAGCUGAAACGAGGGCUCCAGGAAGUUAUAAACAGCACGUUCUCGGGCCUCUGGAGUGUGAUGGCGGUGUUCGCGUUGAGGUUUUGAGGGGGUCUGAGAAAUGUCCCAUCCUCAUCGAGUUCCGAACAACCGAGAAACAAGACAGAAAUGUUACCGCUCUUACUGGUAAAGCUGAUGCUGGAAGAUGGUGCUUGUCUCCCUGGGGAAAUGAGCUCCUUAGCGCUGAAGCCCGGACUCGGGCAGCACCAGCCGCUCGCAGGCGCUCUGAGCUCCAUCCCACCUGGCACGGCCUGGGCCAUGGGCUCAGCGCUGAGAUGGGGGCAGGUGGGUGGCUCUGCGGUCUUAAGGGGUGGUGGAGCUGACGAGGGUUGCUGAUGGAUUGGGUUGGAUGGCGAGAGACAGGAGAGAAACCAGGAUGGCUCCUACGUCUAUGGCCUGGGGGGUUGGGGGGAUGUGGUACCAUUUACAGCGAUGGGAAAAGUGGGGGCUGGAGCAGGAAGGGAGGAAACCAAUUCAGCCACAAACCGAAUGAUGGGCCACAGAUGGGCACUGACCCCGAUUAGGUUGACCUCUAACCCUGGACCCCAAGUCCUGUCCCUGUUGGUAUCCAUGAACUUGUGCCUUUGAUGAACAAGGUCCACAGAUGAGUGUCAGCUAGACGGGAUGGGAUCCUGGGAGCACCAUUCAAUGAGCGCUUCUGGAAGGUCAGCCAUAACGUGGGCUUCACUCUGCCCAGGCCUGCGUGGCCCCCACAUUCUCAAUGCAGAGGGCACCUCCAGGACUCGCAGUCUACCAGGACCCCUGGCGGGCCCUGGGACCACAAACAGGACACUGGUCUUGCCCUCUGGGAGGGGACAGCCUAGUGGGAGAGGCUGCAGGUAUCUCGUCUUCUGAGAGGCCCAGUGGCUCAGACACAGGCCUCACGACUCGCCAUCCAAUGCUCUUCCCACUCCAUCCUCCUCCCAUUUGGAACAAUCCCCUUUCCGCCCAGGACAGGCCACUCUCCAGGUGCUGUCCCCUCCCACAUCAGAGGGGACCAUUGUGAUGACAGCCCCCAGGGCCCUUGUGAUGCUGACUGUGCUCUUAGGAUAUGAGAUGUCGCCCUGCUCUCUGCUUCAUUCCUUGCAAACUGUCCCAAGGUCACCCUGGAGCUUCACGCCAGGUCACACACAGACCGCGUUUGGGAAAAUAUUGUUCUCUCCCUGCCGGCAGCCCAGGGAGUGCUGGAGGCUGGGGUGGGUGGGGCCGGCCUGGAAGGGGGCUCCCCACACUGUACUGAACUCAGCACCCUGGGGCGGGGGGUGCAUCCUGGACACGAACAGCCAGGGGCAGAGGCCCUGUCCCCACAGGAGGAUCCGGCUCACCCCGCCUUCAACAAGUCCCACACGAAACAGUGGCGGGGGGUGGCCUUGUGACUCACAGUCGGAAGGACAACCACGCGAAACCAGAGAACCACCUGGAGGAGCGCUGAGGGCAGAGGAAACGGAUCCAAGUUCAACACGCACCUCGUUCUGCCUCCUGUGUGCUGGGAGCGCGUCCAGCCCGGGCUCCGACGGGGAAAUCGCACCAAGGGGCCAGCAACCGGUAACCGCCAGCGCAACUGGCUUUUCCUUGGCCCGUAAGCCAAUUAACGAUUCACUUAUUUACGCCUGUCCACCGUGAAUAAAAUAAUGCCAUCUACUGAGCGUCUGCUCCGGGCACCGUGCUAAGUGCCACUUACGCUUCAGCUCACUGCUUCCCUCUCGACCCUGAGGCCUUUCUGAUCCCCCUGUUACUGAAAUGAACUUAGAGAAGCUCGGCAGAUAACCCGAGGUCCCCAGCCCGGAAGGGAGGCCGAGCCCUGAGCAAGGCUCCCCACGCAAAACCCACGCCGUCUUAAUCCUGUCACUUCCUGGCGUGUUUUGGUCUCAGGUAAGGUAAGGUCACCUUGUCAUCGCUUCAUUAUCAUUUAUGUCCAAAAUUUUCCUGGCUCCCUGCUAGCAAUUGCUUUUCCAAAUGAGCUUGACGUCCCCUCGGCUGCGUCCCCUGGAACCCCGUUAUGUUUAUUAGUUACAUGAGGGAGAAUUGACAUCUUUCCAUCUGAGGCUUCCUUUCUAGAACGUGUGACUCUAUUUAUGCAGACAUUCUUAUUUUCCUGCAUAAGGUGUCAAUAGAGUUCUCUCACCAGCCCUGCGCUGCUCCUUGUAAGCAAAUUCCUAAGCUGUUUUUCAGCUUUUCGUUGCUAUUAUGAGUAGAUUCUUUUUCGAAUAACACUUCGAAAUUAAGUAGCUUGACCAGAUGGGAAAACAAGUCAUUUUUGCCUAAUUCUUGUAUCUAGUUCUUUUACCAAACUGUUGGAUCUGGGCUCUUCAUCGCCACCCUAGCAGAGCUGUUCGGAUUUUUCAGGGUAGAAAAUCAUAUCGUCGGCAAAUUAUCGUUUUUGCCUUCCUUUUCAAUGGUUAUCAUCUGUGUUUUCUUGUCCUUGUGGCCCCUGGCGCGAUUCUCUCCUGUACUGAGACUGGGGCCAUGUCACGGCGAGGCAGGAGCCCCACACCAUUGUACAUAUCACUUGCAUUUCAUAUCUUGCAUCAUUUGACCUUCACAGUAGCCACAUGGUCAAUCAAUAACCAUGUGCCCACACCUCUUAGGUGCCAGGUCACACGAGACCUAUGUUUCUGUCUCCACGUGGUGCACAGUCCAGAGUGAACUCAGGAAGUAAACAAGUACACUAAUUAAUUAAACACUGACAAGUAAACAAAACAUAGACCAGGAAAAGUAUAAGGAACCAUCACCUCCACUUUACAGAUGAGGAAUCAAGACCCAGGAUGGGGAAGGGAUUGGAACAAGGUCACACAGCAGAUAGGUGGCCAGGCUGAGGUGGAGACCCUUUUUGGUGUCGCGAGGCUGGGGCAACUCUGCAGCUUUCUGUACCCUGUGAACGUGGCCCUCCCUGGGCACAGAGGGCCCGCUGUCCUCCAGGCAGCACGGGCCCAGCUGGCCCAGGGCCGAGGACAGAGCCCUCUGACCUUCCUCGACAGGUGGCCGGGGUGACGAGCGUGGCCGUCGGCAGGGCUUCCAGGGACCCCGGCCGCCAGGCUGCAGACCUUGAACCCAGAACGGUUGCCAUCCGGCAGGCACUGCCCACCCGCAGGUUUCACCCGGCUGCUGAUUCCUGCCUUCCGUCCUCGCAGGCUGUGCCCUGGAGAAUGAGGUCUGGCUGCGGGAUGUGACUUGGUCCUGGGACAUGUGGCUUCAGGCCCAGCUGAGAACCGAGGCCAACGCCAGGCCUUCUAAAGCGGAAGCAAGCACGGCCAUUGGAAACGAGGCCAUGUUGGCUGCAGAUGCCCGGUGACUCCACGGUGGCUCGGACGAUGGCGCCUGGGAUCAGAGCCUUCUGUGGCUCCACCUAGAAAGCAAUCUUAAAGCCCCACUCUGCAGGCCUCUUCCGUCUGGCCCAGCCCAGCCUGCCCUGAGCUGUCUCCACAGAUGGUGCCACUCCCCGUUCUCCGUUUGCUUCCGAAACUCGCUCCCUCCGAGGUUGCCCCUCUGUUCCCUCCACCACGACCUGUGGCCCAUUCCCCCCCAGCCCCCUGCCCUCAUCCUUUCUCUCCAUGACCAAACCCUCCCCAUCCCGCGUACCCCAGCCCAGGGUCUCGUCCGUCAAGCCUCACCCGCCAACCCCUCCUGGAAGCUACCUUCUUCCUCUGAACACCGGGUCACACAGACAAAUGUCCUGAUUAGGCAAGUUAGUGGACCUUUCUGAGCCUCAGUUUCUCCAUCUGCAAAAUGAGGACGCUAGUCCAGCUCCCUCAGAGAAUCAGAGGCUCAGAGAACGGGAUCACAACAGCGGCCGACACUCGGGCAUCCCCUGCGGGGUGCCCAGCGUUGUCGGAAGUGCUGAGCAAAGGUUGGCGCUCUCGUUACUCCCAGUCGACGAAGAGAGAAGCAAGACACAAGGACGUGAAGCAGCAGGCUCAGGCUGAUGCAGCAGCCAGAGGGGACGGUGCAGGGCAGCCUGGCUGCCCCUCCCUGCCCUCCAUCACUGUGCGAUGAACGUGCCUGGUGGGUGUGGUGCGUGUGUGUGCAUGCCUGUGUGUGGGUGUGAGGACGCUCAGAGCACAGGUCCUGGCGCCCAGCGGGUUAUCCCUCUGGGAGCAUCUGAUCUCCAUGGCCCCUUAUCUCUGCCCCUCUGACUUGGCCCUUCCGCUUUGUCUCAUAACUCUGCUGCUCAUAGCUCACCCCCUCCACCCCCCACUCCCCCGCCGGACUGUGAGCUCCUGGAGGGCGGGGCCUGGCUCCCACCUGGGUAUGAACCGAAGCGCCUAACCCAGGGGCCCUGACACCGUCCGGCCCCCCGCGACUCCUCCGUGCCGUCCUUGAGCGGGCACAUCUUGUGGCUUCCCAGGGAGGACCCUGCUCGGCCCCGGCCCAGGGCCCCGCAGGCAGGAGGACCUCUGCAGCACAUGCUCCCCCCUCAUUGUUAAAGUUCAGGUCUCACUCCAACGUCACCUCCUCAGCGAGGCCCUCCCUGGCUGCUCAUCCUCAAAUGGCCCACUUCUCAGCGCCCUGUUUUAUUUCCUUCGUAGAACGCGUUGCCAUCGGAAACAGUCCGAUUACGUCUCUCUGUUUGUUGGUGUCCCUCCCACUGGUGUCUCAGCCCCAUGAGGAGGGGUCCUUGUCCCCAGGGUGGUUUAGAGCAGAGCUUUGUCAACUGUGACGUGCUCACGAAUCACCCGGGAAUCUUCUGAAAUGCAGGUUCCGAUGGAGUAGGACCAGGUCGGGGCCUGAGAAUCUGCAUUUCUAACAAGCACGGGUGACGCUGCCCCGGCCGAGCCCCGUGCUCUGGGCAGCCGGGUCCUCGCACUGCAGGUCUCCACCCCGCGGCCUUGGAAGCUGUGGGGAUGGGCCCGGCGGCGUGCGUUUUCACGGGUGAGUCUGAUGCACGUUCAGGUGUGCAGACCUCUGAUCAGGAGCGGAGUUAAGGGAACGAGCCCCGGAGCCAGGGCUGCCUCGGUUCGAGUCCUGAGGUUAUUCGCUCCCCUGAGCCUCUGUUUUCUGGCUGUGUGGUGGGUGACCUGACCGUUUGAAGGCAGUGAGUUCAUGCGUGUCAGCCGUUUGCCACCACCCCGGCGCUUUGUCCAACGAGUGAUCAGGCGUCAGCCAGAAGUUGUCAACGAGUGGGAGUGCAAGUGGGAACUGAAGGUCGUGCCAGGCCGGGUGUGACCUUCCGGGCCAGCUGUCUGCCUGGCUGACCAGGAUCCCCGUUUGCCCUGACUCCCACGCUCCAGCGAGAGAACAGGAGCACUGAGCCGCAGAGGCUGCAAGCUGCAGCUGGCUUCUCAGCACCCGCUGGAUGGAUCGGCCACGCAGGAACAGAGGCCCUGGGCCGCCAGCAGCGACCUCCUGGGAGUGUGUCGGCCUGUGAGCGGGGCCUUAUCAUCCCCAUUCUGCAGACAAGGAAGCCAAGGUUCAGGAGAGCUCCAGAAGGAUCUGCGAACAAAGCUACCGGAACCUGGAUGACGGGGAGGCUGGGACGGCUGGGUGCGACCCAGAGGAAGGAAGGGAGGGACGCCAGCCCGAGGGUCCCCAUCCUUCAUCCUUUGACCCCUGCAGGCUCGGGGAGGCCCCCCAAACAAACUCAGAGUCCCAACGCCUUGUCACAUAGCACAGGGCCACAGGCCUGGCCCCUGACAACCGGCUGAGGGCCAAGAGGAGUCAGACAGUGACAUGUCCACUCGGGCAGAAGGCGAGCCAGGUUCUAAGAGGCGUCAUGACCUUGUCUAUGCCCCGGAUCCCACCAGCCGCCUGGUGAAGCCUACAGACCCCCUUUCUCAGAAAAAUUGUUUUUUUAAUUCAUAAAAUACAGAAUAUUACAAAGGAA